UGGCCACCUUUGUAGAGCUCAGUACCAAAGACAAGAUGGCCAUCAUAGGCCUGGAGACCUGGAAGUCUCCUCCAGGCAAAGUUGAAGAAACUAUGAAGGUGGCCCUUGAUGUGAGAUAUUGCCACAUUGACUGUGCCUGUCUAUGUGAGAAUGAAGAUGAGGUGGGGAAGCCAUCCAGGAGAAGAUCCAAGAGAAGACUGUCAAACAGGAGUACCGCUUUAUCAUUAGCAAGUUGAGGCUCACCUUCUUUGAGAGACCCCUUGUUAAGGAGGCCUGUCAGAAGAUCCACAGGUACCUGAAACUGAACUACCUGGACAUCUGUUUUAUUCGCUGGACACAGGGAUUCCAGCCUGGGCAGUAGUUUCUCCCCAAAGAUGAUAAAGGUAAUGUCAUCAGCAUUAAAGCAUUCUUUGUUGCUUGGGAGGCCAUGAAGGAGGUGGUGGACAAAGGGCUGGUGAAUGUUCUCUAACUUCAAUUACUUCCAGAGACUCUGGAACAAACCUGGACUGAAAUAUAAAGCAGUAACUAACCAGGUUGACUUAUCUAACGCAAGAGAAACUGAUCCAGUCCUGCCACUCCAAGGGCAUCAACUGUUACAGCCUACAGCCCCCUAGCUUCUCCAGAUAGACCUUGGGCCAAGCCAAAAGACUAAGGAGAUUGCUGCAAGCACAAAUAAAUAAAUAAAUAAAUAAAUAAAUAAAUAAAUAAAUAAAUAAAUAAAUAAAAAGCCCAGGUUCUGAUCCAUUUCCAAAUCCAGAGGAAUGUGGUUGUGAUCCCCAAGUCAGUGUGCAUUGUUGAGAAUUUUCAGGUAUUUGACUUUAAGUGAUGUGUAGUUGAUAACCACAUUCAACUUGAACAGAAACUGGAGGGCCUGAGACAUAAGCCAAUCCUCUCACUUGGAGGACAGUCCCUUCAAUGCGUAAGAUU
This 927-nucleotide long non-coding RNA is filed under the name Homo sapiens (human). Its description in RNAcentral is "non-protein coding lnc-CCDC102B-10:1". The record is from RNAcentral. Lineage: Eukaryota; Metazoa; Chordata; Mammalia; Primates; Hominidae.